This 498-nucleotide ribosomal RNA is filed under the name uncultured bacterium. RNAcentral describes it as "bacterial SSU rRNA". It matches the Rfam family "Bacterial small subunit ribosomal RNA", at positions 28 to 524 of the family's 1533-position model. The record is from RNAcentral.
GAUGAACGCUAGCGGCAGGCUUAACACAUGCAAGUCGAACGGCAGCACGGGAGCUUGCUCCUGGUGGCGAGUGGCGAACGGGUGAGUAACAUAUCGGAACGUACCCCGUCGUGGGGGAUAACUCUCCGAAAGGAGUGCUAAUACCGCAUACGACCUGAGGGUGAAAGCGGGGGACCUGCAAGGGCCUCGCGCGAUGGGAGCGGCCGAUAUCGGAUUAGCUAGUUGGUGAGGUAAAGGCUCACCAAGGCGACGAUCCGUAGCGGGUCUGAGAGGACGACCCGCCACACUGGAACUGAGACACGGUCCAGACUCCUACGGGAGGCAGCAGUGAGGAAUAUUGGUCAAUGGGAGCAAUCCUGAACCAGCAAUGCCGCGUGUGGGAUGACAGGGCUUCGCCUUGUAAACCACUGUCGGACGGGACGAAAGGAGGCCUCGGGCCUCUGGGACGGUACCGUCAAAGGAAGGGUCGGCUAACUACGUGCCAGCAGCCGCGGUAAU